Non-coding RNA from Oryza glumipatula, 208 nucleotides. The record is from Rfam. Lineage: Eukaryota; Viridiplantae; Streptophyta; Magnoliopsida; Poales; Poaceae.
AAAAAAAAAAACCCUAAGUUUCCGUGUCUAAAGUUUGACUGUCUGUCUUAUAUGAAAUUUUUUUAUAAUUAGUAUUUUCAUUGUUGUUAGAUGAUAAAACAUGAUUAAUAUUUUAUGCGUGACUUGUCUUUUUAAUUUUUUUUUAUAAUUUUUCUAAAUAAGACGGAUGAUCAAACGUUGGACACGAAAACCCAGGGUUUGUCUUUUU